Molecule: long non-coding RNA, 1616 nt
Filed under: Paramuricea clavata
Lineage: Eukaryota; Metazoa; Cnidaria; Anthozoa; Malacalcyonacea; Plexauridae
Source: RNAcentral
CGUAAAUGAUGCAGAGAAAACUUGUGUCAAACUGACUGUAUUGAGCAACCAGUGAGUUUCUAGUGAGUCGGUUGCUAAUCUCUCUGCUUCAGCGAGAAAAAAGGUCAGUCUUGUAGCUUUGAUGCUACCAGUAGCAGUUCCAAAGAUGAAGAGCCUAAAAUAACUGCUUAUCGUUUCAUUGAUGUGUAAUAACUAAAUGAACUUUUGCAGCAAGUGUCAUUGUAACUCAUUGUAAGUUAUGUGGAGAAUCUAGUCUUAGUCUUAAAAAUGAUCCUUGGGAAAGAAUAGGUUGUGCUACUCAUCUUCGGUUGUGUUGUGAUAAAUGUGGCUGGGUUUAUAGCUUUUUACAUAAAAAAGUCAGACAUUUUUUUUAUGUAAACAGAAGACUUGUUUAUGCAAUGAGAAAGCAUUGCCAUUGGACAAGGAGAAGCUUCUGUGAGACGUUUCUGUUCCCUAAUGAAUAUUCCCCCACCACCGAAACCUUCUGCUUAUUCAGCUUAUAAUGAUACCUUGUUGAAAGCAGCCAAGACUGUGGCCACUGAUAAGAUGGGGAAUGCUGGUAAGGAGUUAGACCAUGACAAUAACAGUUAUGACAAAGUUCUCCAGUACGAUGUUUACUGUGACGGAACUUGGCAAAGGUGGGGAUAUUCAUCAUUAAAUGGUCAAGUUACUACCAUUUCAAUGGAAACGGGUAAAUGCCUUGAUGUCGAGAUUUUGUGUAAGGCAUGUCAUACCUGCCAAAGGAUUGAUAGAGAGACAGAUGAUGAAAAAAGGCAUUGCGUAAAGCUGACCAUAUAGCAAAAUACAAGGCAAACUAUGCAGGUUCAGCACCGUCAAUGGAGACCGAGGGAGUGAAGCGAAUCUUUGAAUGUAGUGAAGCGACACACAAAUUACAAUAUACAGAGUAUUUUGGUGAUAGUAAUAGCAGGAAGGUACCACCUAUAAGGCAGGAUUGUUUUAAAAAGUAAAAUUGUCAUUUACUGCUUUGCAUUAGGUUCCACUGCUGAAAUAACUUAAACCGUAAACUUUAAAGCUGUUUUUCUCAAUUUGUAAAAAUGGUCCGAUUGCUCAAUUUUCAUGCAUGAUAUCUCAAAAACUAUUAAAGGUAUCCUGAUCAAAUUUUCAGAGUUGCUAGUACAUAUCAUGCUCCAGGGAAUGAACUAGGAUAAUUGAGUUCUGCUGCAUUUUCAAGGAGUUAUCACUGUUUCAGUGAUGCAUGUUUCCGCAUUUUUUGUGUUUGGUAGGAUAAAUUCUGAUAAUAGUUGUUGUAUAUGCAGUAGGGCAAUGAUUCUAGUUCAUUCCCUGGACACUAUUGUAACUAACACAAUAAAAGUUAUUUUAGACUUCUAUCAUUAAUUCUCACCUAGUUAUCAUGUUUGAAAAUUGACCCAUUUUUUCCCUUUGGGCGUGGCAUAUAUUGGUUACUAUGGAAACAGUUAACUAAAGAAGUAUAUUUUCAUGGUUGGGUGACCACCUUCAACAACACUGUGUAGUUAGAUUUUUGUUUUGGACCAUUUUUAGGGAAAAAAAAAAAUUUGUAUAAGACCACCUUAAGCUAUUUUUGGCGUAACUGUCAUGUUUUGAUGUACCUCCGUGCACGUUUCAAUAUUUCCAAG